Molecule: transfer RNA, 118 nt
Filed under: Chloroflexota bacterium
Lineage: Bacteria; Bacillati; Chloroflexota
Description: Chloroflexi bacterium (marine metagenome) tRNA-OTHER
Source: RNAcentral
GGCACCGGCUCCAUUGAACCGAGCGACUCAUAGGAGGACGUCAGGGCAGGGCGUUCGGUUUUUCGAAGCACACUUCAUAAGCGCUAGGUCACUGGUUCGAACCCAGUCGGUGCCACCA